GACGUAGGGGGCGAGCGUUGUCCGGAUUUAUUGGGCGUAAAGCGCGCGUAGGCGGUUGCGCAAGUCGGUUGUGAAACCCCGGGGCUCAACCCCGGAACUGCAUCCGAUACUGCGUGGCUAGAGGUAGGUAGGGGAGAUCGGAAUUCCUGGUGUAGCGGUGAAAUGCGUAGAUAUCGAGAGGAACACCGGUGGCGAAGGCGAGUCCCUGGACAACUCCUGACACUGAGGCACGAAAGCUAGGGGAGCAAACAGG
RNAcentral lists this ribosomal RNA (253 nucleotides) under uncultured bacterium. Its description in RNAcentral is "partial 16S ribosomal RNA". It matches the Rfam family "Bacterial small subunit ribosomal RNA", at positions 524 to 776 of the family's 1533-position model. The record is from RNAcentral.